AUGAGUGUUUUAUCAUGGAACUGCCGAGGGCUUGGGAACCCUUGGACAGUUCGAGAGCUUCGCAAAGUUGUGAAGCAAGAAGGCCCCGCCCUUCUGUUUGUCAUGGAAACAAAAAUCAAGGGCAAGCGUGUGGAGGAUCUAAAAUUUAGUUUAGGUUUCUCUGGUUGUUUUGCUGUCGAUAGCGACGGGCUUAGUGGAGGAAUUGGUCUUUUCUGG
RNAcentral lists this ribosomal RNA (216 nucleotides) under Triticum aestivum (bread wheat). RNAcentral's name for it is "partial small subunit ribosomal RNA". Lineage: Eukaryota; Viridiplantae; Streptophyta; Magnoliopsida; Poales; Poaceae. The record is from RNAcentral.